CGUAUGUCACAAGCGUUAUCCGGAUUUAUUGGGCGUAAAGCGCGUCUAGGUGGUUAUAUAAGUCUGAUGUGAAAUGCAGAGCUCAACUCUGUAUUGCGUUGGAAACUGUGUAACUAGAGUACUGGAGAGGUAAGCGGAACUACAAGUGUAGAGGUGAAAUUCGUAGAUAUUUGUAGGAAUGCCGAUGGGGAAGCCAGCUUACUGGACAGAUACUGACGCUAAAGCGCGAAAGCGUGGGUAGCAAACAGGAUU
This 252-nucleotide ribosomal RNA is filed under the name uncultured bacterium. Its description in RNAcentral is "partial 16S ribosomal RNA". It matches the Rfam family "Bacterial small subunit ribosomal RNA", at positions 526 to 779 of the family's 1533-position model. The record is from RNAcentral.